UUUCCGUAGGUGAACCUGCGGAAGGAUCAUUCAUAAUAAAGUGUUUUAUGGCACUUUUUAAAAAUCCAUAUCCACCUUGUGUGCAAUGUUAAAGCUCGCGUUCAAGACAGGUUCGACUGGUCUCGGGCAGGGUCAUGAUAUAUCAACUCUUUCUUAAACCAAUUUGUCUGAAAAUUAUUAUGAAUACUUAAUUCAAAAUAAAACUUUCAACAACGGAUCUCUUGGCUCUG
Molecule: unclassified non-coding RNA, 230 nt
Filed under: plant metagenome
Description: partial contains small subunit ribosomal RNA, internal transcribed spacer 1, and 5.8S ribosomal RNA
Source: RNAcentral